This 449-nucleotide ribosomal RNA is filed under the name Salmonella enterica subsp. enterica serovar Infantis. RNAcentral's name for it is "bacterial LSU rRNA". It matches the Rfam family "Bacterial large subunit ribosomal RNA", at positions 460 to 810 of the family's 2925-position model. Lineage: Bacteria; Pseudomonadati; Pseudomonadota; Gammaproteobacteria; Enterobacterales; Enterobacteriaceae. The record is from RNAcentral.
CCAAGGCUAAAUACUCCUGACUGACCGAUAGUGAACCAGUACCGUGAGGGAAAGGCGAAAAGAACCCCGGCGAGGGGAGUGAAAAAGAACCUGAAACCGUGUACGUACAAGCAGUGGGAGCCCCACCACUAAGCCAGUGGUGAACUCCACAUACGCAUCCUUUGCUGAGGAUACGGUUAACGGAGCGAAAGCGACGUUCAACCUCAAAAGAAGCAGAGGGGGCUUAGUGGUGGGGUGACUGCGUACCUUUUGUAUAAUGGGUCAGCGACUUAUAUUCUGUAGCAAGGUUAACCGAAUAGGGGAGCCGGAGGGAAACCGAGUCUUAACCGGGCGUUAAGUUGCAGGGUAUAGACCCGAAACCCGGUGAUCUAGCCAUGGGCAGGUUGAAGGUUGGGUAACACUAACUGGAGGACCGAACCGACUAAUGUUGAAAAAUUAGCGGAUGACCU